Molecule: non-coding RNA, 121 nt
Organism: Pelobates cultripes (western spadefoot toad)
Lineage: Eukaryota; Metazoa; Chordata; Amphibia; Anura; Pelobatidae
Source: the annotation of a GenBank genome assembly
GCGAACUGCGGUCAGCUGACACGUCCCGGCCAAUCUCCAGCAGACCCUCCUACUUCCUGGACAGCAUCCAUGUGGGAGGGAGGGUCUGCUGGAGAUUGGCCGGGACAUGUCAGCUGACCGG